Pseudomyrmex gracilis is the source of this 781-nucleotide long non-coding RNA. RefSeq lists it as uncharacterized. The transcript is spliced from 3 exons. NCBI's taxonomy places the organism in Eukaryota, Metazoa, Arthropoda, Insecta, Hymenoptera, Formicidae. The record is from RefSeq and is a predicted model, not a curated record.
UCAGUCUUAUGAAGCAGUAUCAAAAAAGUUCUAUAAUUAAAAAACAAAAAGUAAAUCUCCAACGUGGAAUAUAUUGGAUAACUGGGAGAUACAAUUGCAAUUUAGAAAAAGUUGCAGCAAUUUUUCCAUAUGUAGAUCAAACUAAAAAAGAAAAAUAUUUGAUUUUACCCCGUAUUCCUGCUGAAUGGAUAUUUCCAUAUUGGGAAAAUCCCGCAACUAAGGCCACCUUUACUAUUCGAAUUAACCAUGACUACAUUGAUGAAACAGUUCUCUCACAUAUGCCUGGUGAUCGAAUUUUUGAAAGAAAUAAGUUCUAUACUUCAUACUACACUUCAUUUCCUAUUACACCUGCAAUGUCCACUCAAUUGGUAGCAAUAGCAGUUCUACCUUAUGAAAGUGUCAUUUUAUUGUUAAAUACAAUUUCUGUAAAAAGCAGAUUACAAGUAAUAAAUGACACUACAUAUGCACGAUCUCGAAUUAAUGACAUCACGAAGUUUAUCAGAAACAAAUGGAAGGAUAUCAUAAAAACAUCAUUCAUUUCAUAAUAGCUGGAAUUCACUGGAAGUGAAUUCCAGCUAUUAUGAAACUGUAGUAACUACUAGACUUGUUCUUUUUAAAGAGGCUGACAUUGUUUUCAAUAGAGAAGUAGAUUCGAUUAUAAGAAAAACACAAAUAACAUGUUUGAUUGCACGCAGUGUGAUACAAGAAAUGUUCAGUAAUUGGUUAGUUAAAUUUAAACAAUCUGAUCCUUGGUUUAUCAAGGGGUUUUCAACAUUUUAUG